Molecule: ribosomal RNA, 1286 nt
Filed under: metagenome
Description: bacterial LSU rRNA
Rfam family: Bacterial large subunit ribosomal RNA
Source: RNAcentral
GCUAUUGUUUUACUUAAGCCCGUACCGUAAACCGACACAGGUGGAUGAGGAGAGAAUCCUAAGGCCGACGGGAGAAGCAUUGUUAAGGAACUCGGCAAAAUGACUCCGUAACUUCGGGAGAAGGAGUGCCAGCGAGAGCUGGCCGCAGAGAAUUGGCCCAAGCAACUGUUUAGCAAAAACACAGGUCUAUGCAAAACCGUAAGGUGAAGUAUAUGGGCUGACGCCUGCCCGGUGCUGGAAGGUUAAGAGGAGAGGUUAGCGGCAACGCGAAGCUUUGAAUUUAAGCCCCAGUAAACGGCGGCCGUAACGAUAACGGUCCUAAGGUAGCGAAAUUCCUUGUCGGGUAAGUUCCGACCCGCACGAAAGGCGUAAUGAUUUGGGCACUGUCUCAACAAUGCACCCGGUGAAAUUGAAAUACCAGUGAAGAUGCUGGUUACCUGCGCCAGGACGGAAAGACCCCAUGGAGCUUUACUCCAGCUUGAUACUGGGAUUCGGUAUUGCAUGUACAGGAUAGGUGGGAGGCUAGGAAGUGAUAACGCCAGUUGUCACGGAGCCGCUGUUGGGAUACCACCCUUGCAGUAUUGGAUUUCUAACCAGCGACCAUGAACUGGUCGGGGGACAAUGUCAGGUGGGGAGUUUGACUGGGGCGGUCGCCUCCGAAAGGGUAUCGGAGGCGCUCAAAGGUUCCCUCAGAAUGGACGGAAACCAUUCGAAGAGUGCAAAGGCAGAAGGGAGCUUGACUGCGACACCGACGGGUGGAGCAGGUACGAAAGUAGGACUUAGUGAUCCGGUGGUAUAAAGUGGGAUUGCCAUCGCUCAACGGAUAAAAGCUACCCUGGGAUAACAGGCUUAUCACUCCCAAGAGUUCACAUCGACGGAGUGGUUUGGCACCUCGAUGUCGGCUCAUCGCAUCCUGGGGCUGAAGUAGGUCCCAAGGGUUGGGCUGUUCGCCCAUUAAAGCGGUACGCGAGCUGGGUUCAGAACAUCGUGAGACAGUUCGGUCCCUAUCCGGCGUGGGCGUGGGAUAUUUGAGAGGAGCUGUCCUUAGUACGAGAGGACCGGGAUGGACUGGCCGCUGGUGUAUCUGUUGCAUACCAAAUGCAUGGCAGAGUAGCCAAGCCGGGACGGGAUAAACGCUGAAGGCAUCUAAGCGUGAAGCCCCCCUCAAGAUGAGAUAUCCCUACGUAAGUAGUAAGACCCCUUGAAGACGACGAGGUAGAUAGGUCAGAGGUGGAAGUACAGUAAUGUAUGGAGCUGACUGAUACUAAUCGGUCGAGGGCAUGACU